This 378-nucleotide ribosomal RNA is filed under the name uncultured Acholeplasma sp. Its description in RNAcentral is "bacterial SSU rRNA". It matches the Rfam family "Bacterial small subunit ribosomal RNA", at positions 998 to 1382 of the family's 1533-position model. The record is from RNAcentral. Lineage: Bacteria; Bacillati; Mycoplasmatota; Mollicutes; Acholeplasmatales; Acholeplasmataceae.
CUAUAGAGAUAUAGUGGAGGUUAUCAUGGAGACAGGUGGUGCAUGGUUGUCGUCAGCUCGUGUCGUGAGAUGUUGGGUUAAGUCCCGCAACGAGCGCAACCCUUAUUGCUAGUUACCAUCAUUAAGUUGGGGACUCUAGCGAGACUGCCAGUGAUAAACUGGAGGAAGGUGGGGAUGACGUCAAAUCAUCAUGCCCCUUAUGACCUGGGCUACAAACGUGAUACAAUGGCUGAAACAAAGGGCAGCGAAGGAGCGAUCUGGAGCGAAACCCAAAAAAGCAGUCUCAGUUCGGAUUGAAGUCUGCAACUCGACUUCAUGAAGUCGGAAUCGCUAGUAAUCGCGGAUCAGAACGCCGCGGUGAAUACGUUCUCGGGGUUU